RNA transcript from Nycticebus coucang (slow loris), 435 nucleotides. It is a transcript of the gene named 60S ribosomal protein L26-like, with no coding region annotated. Lineage: Eukaryota; Metazoa; Chordata; Mammalia; Primates; Lorisidae. The transcript has a single exon. The record is from RefSeq and is a predicted model, not a curated record.
CCAAAAUGAAGUUCAAUCCCUUUGUGACUUCUGACCGAAGCAAGAACCGCAAAAGGCAUUUCAAUGCACUUUCCCACAUUCGCAGGAAGAUUAUGUCUUCCCUCUUUCCAAAGAGCUGAGACAGAAGUACAAUGUUCGAUCCAUGCCCAUCCGAAAGGAUGAUGAAGUUCAGGUUGUCCGGGGGCAUUAUAAAGGUCAGCAGAUUGGCAAAGUAGUCCAGGUUUACAGGAAGAAAUACGUCAUCCACAAUGAGCAGGUGCAGCGGGAAAAGGCUAAGGGCACAACUGUCCAUGUGGGCAUUCACCCCAGCAAGGUGAUCCUUGAACGAAAAGCCAAAUCUCGCCAAGUAGGAAAGGAAAAGUGCAAGUACAAGGAAGAAACAAUUGAGAAGAUGCAGGAAUAAAAUAAUCUUAUAUGCAACUUUCAUUAAACACU